GGAAGGAUCAUUAACAAAAAUUGAACUUAAUAACAAACUGACUUGGAGUACAAGAGCAAUCUUGUACUAUUUAAAUCUAAUAUCACUAUACUAUAAAUAAGUAUUGGUUGAUAAAAAAAUUAAAUUUUCAACGAUGGAUGUCUAGGCUCCCAUAACGAUGAAGAACGCAGCGAAAAUGCGAUAUGCAAUGUGAAUUGCAGAACCACGAAUCAUUUGAUCUUUGAACGCAACUUGCGCUGAUCAUAUCAGCAUACUUGCUUCAGUGUGCGUAAACAAAUUACAAUAUAAAUGUAAGAGAAAAUUCUCUUAUGAAAUAAAUGCUCUAAGUAGCAGUCACUAUAUGUGAGCUAUUCUAGAGAAUAAAUGCCAUAUUUGCACCUGAAAUCAAGUAAGAUCACCCGCUGGACUUAAGCAUAUUACUAAGCGGAGGAGAAGAAAUUAACUAAGAUUGCCUUAGUAAGGGCGACUGAACCGGCAAAAGCUCGAAAUUAAAAUCGGAAAAUCAAUGAUUUUUCGAAUUGUAAUCAGGGUUCCCUAAAUACGUGAAGUUUACUAACGGUAUCGAAAGACCGGCCAAAGAGGGUGAAAGCCCCGUGCGUUUAUUUCACGAGCAAGGGAAUUUAUCCAAGAGUCGUGUUGCUUGGAACUGCAGCACUAAGCGGGGGAUAUGAUUCCUCCAAAGCUAAAUAUGGAUGGGAGACCGAUAGCGAACAAGUACUGUGAAGGAAAGAUGAAAAGGACUUUGAAAAGAGAGUGAAAAGAUCUGAAAUCGUUGAGAAGGAAGCGGUUAAAGCUGAUCGAGGCUAUGACUGCACAACGCGGCCAAAAGUCGCAGAGUGUAGACCAAAGGCCCUGGACAAAAUCAAGUUCGUCGGACUAAAAAAGGUGCAAGCCGAUUAGAGUCUGAUUAACUUGAGGGUCUACGGAGAUUUUGUCUAAAAGGCUUUAACCGACCCGUCUUGAAACACGGACCAAGGAGUCUAACACAUAUGCGAGUGUGCGGGUGUAGAAACCCAUACGCGUAAUGAAAGUAAAAGAUGCGAAGCCACAAGCAGCAGCAUCGACCGACCUAGUAAGAAAGGUUUGAGUAUGAGCAUAUUUGUUAGGACCCGAAAGAUGGUGAACUAUGCCUGAGUAGGGUGAAGUCAGGGGAAACCCUGAUGGAGGCUCGUAGCGGUACUAACGUGCAAAUUGUUCGUCAAACUUGGGUAUAGGGGCGAAAGACUAAUCGAACCAUCUAGUAGCUGGUUCCCUC
This 1255-nucleotide unclassified non-coding RNA is filed under the name uncultured haptorid ciliate. RNAcentral describes it as "sequence contains 18S rRNA gene, ITS1, 5.8S rRNA gene, ITS2, 28S rRNA gene". The stretch from base 375 to 1255 matches the Rfam family "Eukaryotic large subunit ribosomal RNA", at positions 1 to 961 of the family's 3401-position model. Lineage: Eukaryota; Ciliophora; Litostomatea; Haptorida. The record is from RNAcentral.